Molecule: ribosomal RNA, 721 nt
Filed under: uncultured Cryptophyta
Lineage: Eukaryota; Cryptophyceae
Description: SSU rRNA
Rfam family: Eukaryotic small subunit ribosomal RNA
Source: RNAcentral
AAAAGCUCGUAGUCGGAUUUUGGGCGCGUGUGAACUGUCAGCCUCUGGUUGGACGGUGCGCGUGUGCCUUUCUGCUUGGGAGCCCCAUGGUGGUUAAUUCUGUCGUGGUGGGUCACAGGCCGUUUACUUUGAAAAAAUUAGAGUGUUCAAAGCAGGCUGUUGCUUGAAUAGAUUAGCAUGGAAUAAUGGAAUAGGACCUUGGUGCUAUUUCGUUGGUUAUGGGACUGGGGUAAUGAUUAAUAGGGACAGUUGGGGCCGUUCAUAUUUCGUUGUCAGAGGUGAAAUUCUUGGAUUUACGAACGAUGAACUUGUGCGAAAGCAUUCGGCAAGGAUGUUUUCAUUGAUCAAGAACGAAAGUUAGGGGAUCGAAGACGAUCAGAUACCGUCGUAGUCUUAACCAUAAACUAUGCCAACUAGGGAUCAUUGAGUGUCAAUUUACGACCUCAUUGGCACCUUGUGAGAAAUCAAAGUUUUUGGGUUCCGGGGGGAGUAUGGUCGCAAGGCUGAAACUUAAAGGAAUUGACGGAAGGGCACCACCAGGAGUGGAGCCUGCGGCUUAAUUUGACUCAACACGGGGAAACUUACCAGGUCCAGACAUAGUCAGGAUGGACAGAUUGAGAGCUCUUUCUUGAUUCUAUGGGUAGUGGUGCAUGGCCGUUCUUAGUUGGUGGAGUGAUUUGUCUGGUUAAUUCCGAUAACGAACGAGACCUUAACCUGCUAA